Long non-coding RNA from Spinacia oleracea (spinach), 481 nucleotides. RefSeq lists it as uncharacterized. The transcript has 4 exons. NCBI's taxonomy places the organism in Eukaryota, Viridiplantae, Streptophyta, Magnoliopsida, Caryophyllales, Amaranthaceae. The record is from RefSeq and is a predicted model, not a curated record.
AGAAAAAUAUGGUAAACAUUCUUCAGACUUCGCAUCUGCAACAAGAUAAGAGAGAGCCACAAAGGAAACUUUCCUUGGACACUGAGGUUGCAGCAACGUUACAGCUUUGCCUUGGCUACAUAGUUAAGCUAUCUCCAUUAUGUAUCCUCCUGUUGGUGUUUUUAGUACUUUCCUCAACUUCUUGCCACUUAUUCUCAAGCGAUGAUUGACAAGACACGGGAUACUUUGGUUACAUAUUUUUUCAAGCAAAAACAAGUUAUCAAUGAUCGAAUUGAUGAAGAUGCAGAAAAUGAUCUUUUGGACUUUGGUCAUGAAUAAUCUUUGUAGUUAGUGCAUAUUGAAACUUUCUAACAUUUUUUUUGGCAAUCUCGUAGCAAGUUAAUACAUUUGAAGUACUUUGGAUUUGAGCUUGUAAUUCUCACAAUAGUUUUAUUUAGUUUAUAAAUUGUUUUGGAGAACAAGAAGUUGGUACAUUGGUCGA